This is a non-coding RNA of Rattus norvegicus (Norway rat), 21250 nucleotides long. The record is from RefSeq and is a predicted model, not a curated record. Lineage: Eukaryota; Metazoa; Chordata; Mammalia; Rodentia; Muridae.
GGCCUCAGCGAAACCAACUGGUUCCCACCCCAGCCUUGGCCAAUGUUUCAGCUGCCCGGAGUCCAGACGUGCGCUGGGGCGCUCGCGGGCGCUUUCCUUCUGCUACUACUCGUGCUGGUGGUCCGCCAGCUCCUGAGGCAGAGACGUCCAGCGGGCUUCCCCCCGGGUCCUCCGCGGCUGCCAUUCAUCGGCAACAUCUGCUCCCUGGCCCUGUCGGCCGAUCUUCCCCACGUCUACAUGAGGAAGCAGAGCCGGGUGUUUGGCGAGAUUUUCAGUUUAGAUCUUGGAGGCAUAUCAACUGUGGUUCUCAAUGGCUAUGAUGUAGUAAAGGAAUGCCUUGUUCAUCAAAGUGAAAUUUUUGCAGAUAGACCAUGCCUUCCUUUGUUCAUGAAGAUGACAAAAAUGGGAGGCUUACUCAAUUCCAGAUAUGGCAGAGGAUGGAUUGAUCACAGAAGAUUGGCUGUUAACAGCUUUCAUUAUUUUGGAAGUGGCCAAAAAUCUUUUGAAUCUAAAAUCUUAGAAGAAACUUGGUCUUUAAUUGAUGCUAUUGAAACAUACAAAGGUAGACCUUUUGACCUCAAGCAACUGAUAACAAAUGCUGUUUCAAACAUAACUAACCUUAUCCUUUUUGGAGAACGAUUCACUUAUGAAGACACUGAUUUUCAGCACAUGAUUGAGUUAUUCAGUGAGAAUGUCGAACUAGCUGCCAGUGCUCCGGUCUUCCUUUACAAUGCAUUUCCAUGGAUUGGCAUCUUACCUUUCGGAAAACAUCAAAGGCUAUUUAGAAAUGCAGAUGUGGUCUAUGAUUUCCUCUCCAAACUUAUUGAAAAAGCUGCAGUAAAUAGAAAGCCUCAUUUGCCUCAGAAUUUUGUUGAUGCCUAUUUAGAUGAGAUGGAUAAAGGUCAAAAUGAUCCUUUAUCUACGUUCUCCAAAGAGAAUCUAAUUUUCUCAGUGGGUGAACUCAUCAUUGCUGGAACUGAAACUACAACCAAUGUGCUCCGCUGGGCAGUUCUGUUCAUGGCCCUUUAUCCUAAUAUUCAAGGACAAGUUCAUAAAGAGAUUGAUUUAAUUAUGGGACACGACAGGAGGCCUUCUUGGGAAGACAAAUGCAAAAUGCCUUAUACUGAAGCAGUUUUGCAUGAAGUUUUAAGAUUCUGUAAUAUAGUUCCACUGGGGAUUUUCCAUGCAACUUCUGAAGAUGCAGUUGUACGUGGCUAUUCCAUUCCUAAAGGCACAACAGUCAUUACAAAUCUUUAUUCUGUUCACUUUGAUGAAAAGUACUGGAAAGACCCAGACAUGUUCUAUCCUGAGCGAUUUCUGGACAGCAGUGGAUAUUUUACUAAAAAGGAAGCUUUGAUUCCUUUUUCUCUAGAUGGCCUAAUUGAACAAGACAGAAAGAGGAACAGAAAAUGGCUACGAAUGAUAAAAGGAACUAAAGUUAACACUGAAUACUAAAGUGAAGAGAGAUGAAUUCAUCAGAAACAGUAGCAAGUCUCUAUGUAAGGCAUACAGUUAGAAACAUACAUACCACACUGCAGCAGUCUGCAACACAAAUAAAUAUCUCAAACCACAUUAAAUUCUUCUACAAACUAUGUUUAGUUACACGGUCUCAUGUUUAAAGCUACGGCAGUUAAAGUAUUCAUGCUGGGAACUCAUUCUACUUUAUUUAGAUUGUGAUAUGACCCUAAAAGAGUUUGAUACUUUAUCAGCUAUAUUCCUUCCAUAUAAAAUACUAUACCAAAAUAAAUUAUUGUCUAUCUUUGAUCACAUUUGUAUUUACAUAUUUGUUUGUGUGAGAUGAGGAUACAUUUGCAUACCAUGACACAUGUGUGGAGGUCUGAGGACUGCUUUUAGUAACCAGUUCUCUCUUUCUAUCAAGUAGGCCUCAGAGAUUAAAUUCAGGUUGUCAUGCUUGGAGUGAGAUGUCUCUACCUGGUAAGGCGUCUCACCACCCCAAGAAAAGAAACUGUUAGUACACUAACAUGUUCACAGCUAAAGAACAGAAGGUAAAGAUAUUAAGAUAAAUCAUAGGAGAAAACCAAAAAGAAUAAACCAUUAAGGCUUUCUUAAGCUAUUAAAACUUUUAUCUAUACUAUAGACCCAGUUAGAAAGAACAAAGAUCCAAUCAGAGUUUUAUCAAUUUGAUAAAAGACAAAAAUAUUUCAAUCAAGAAUUCAUGAAACAUGGAGUUAUUCUUUUUAUAGCUGAAGAAACUAAUUUUUCAAAAUUUCCUUUCCAUUCAUCAUCAUGUGCUUUCAUCAAUUAAGCACAAUGAAGGGUUUACAGAAAACAUGACUCACAAGAAAGACAGAUUGAUAUGGCAUGGGUUAUAAACAACUUUUGGAAUUAUUCUUAAGCUUCUGAAAAAUUCUUUACUACCUGAGGUGCAUUUGUAGCCACUAGGAAUGCAUUUGUUCUUCCUGGGUGAUCAUAAUCGUGCAUGGCAGCUGCCACAUAUAAAGCCAUCAGUUCUAACGCAGGAAUGUUUGAAGACAGGCAGCCAUAACUCUUAUCUGGAAUACAGCAACUCUUCGAAGAAAGGUAAGCAAUCUGUCCAGAACUAAGUCUAGCAUCUGAAUCUGUGUGGCAAUAAAGAGUAAACAAACAUUAGCAUGUAACUUCCUGACAAUUAUGCUAAGAAUGGAGUUUCUCCUAAGUAGCACCAGUAUUAAUUUAUGGAAGUGGACUCAAAGGACUUAAUAUACUUUCCCAUUGUUUAUCUUGCAGGACACUGGGGAAUUCUGGCACCAGGUUGAUGCUUUUCAGACUAAUAAAUUCACAAAAACUCUAAGGGUUAAACAAAGUAAUCAUACAAAAUACUAGCACCAAGAAGAGGAAGUCGACAAAGUCCUGCCUACAACCAAGAAGCUACUUGUAAAUGAAACCUACUGGGAAAGGGAAAAUCAAUUUUCUCCAAUGGGAUAUAAGUAAGUAAGCCAAUCACACUCCAGGACAGGCCCUAUGCCCAAGGGUAGUUAACUAAAACUGAAACAGACUAUAGUGUGUGUGUGUGUGUGUGUGUGUGUGUGUGUGUGUGUGUGUGUGUGUUGUCUUGUUACCUUUUCUUUGACUAAUUUUCUUUUUUCAAAGUUUGUUUUGAUUUUCCUUUUGAAAGAGGGAAAGAAGGAACAGGUAGUUGGGUAGGUAGGGAGGUGAGGAGGAUUUGGGAGGAAGUGGGAGAGGGCAAAAAAUAUGAUCAAAAUAUAUUGAAUGAAAAAUUAAGUAUACAUAGUAGAUAUAGAAAAGGAUCUAAAUGGAUAAAACUUAGGAAUAAAAUUUGAUUUAGAAACAAUAUGAACAUGAGGGAAUUUAAUGUGUCACCAAACUAAGCUCUUCAAUAGAAAUGCUACUUUUCAAAAUUCAUCCAGAAGAACUGUUUCACUUUCUGUACCCCUUCCUCUCCUUCCUAUGACGCCCUCCCUCCUAUGACGCUCUUUACAGUGGAACAAAACAAAAAAUAUGAGCAUAUGAAGGCCUGAAAAAUUGAGAACUACUUGGGUACCACUCCUCAGUUUCCUUCUGAUAGAAACUUCUCCGUGAUUCUAGUUCCUAAUACCUCACUAUAUCUUUAUAUUAGCUAAGACUAAAUGGUCAAACUAUCAUUGUUGCUAAAGAGAUUGGAAUAAAUGACAGAAUGUAAAAUGAGUUAUAGCAGGCAGCAUAUAAAAUGCAAGAUAAGAAAUAUGAGAUGUCCUCAAUGCCUUGUCAAAGUCCAAAUGAUUUCUUCAUCAUAAUUUGAGUCAAUAUAUCACAAGGAUUUUUUAACUUAAUUUUUUAUUUUCAUAUUCAAUAUAUAUUUUCAAUUAUAUUGCAUUUUAGAAAACUGUACUUUUAACACUCCUUACAACAAUUGUUUAAAACAGUUAAAUAUACAGACAGGGAUUAUGUAGGCAAACUGUUACAAGCAAGACUUUAAUUAUGAAUAUCAUGGUCAAUACCUUGAACAUUUCCGUGUUAUAGCCACCGUGGAUUUCCCCUUAAAUUACAAACUAAAUUUUAAAAUUCAAGGACAGCAAAAUAUACCCCUAUUAAACUAAAAAAAUUAGUUAAGAAUAGUGAUACAGGCCUAUACAUGCCAGCACUUUAAAGUUCAAGUAAUAAAUAAAUCUUAUUAUUUUGGGUAAUAAGAUACUGUGUUAAACAAAUAAAACAAAACAAACAACAAAAAUUUAAAAAGUGAAACAAAACAAAAACUCAGUAAUUACUUGAAACUUAAACAGUAGGUUCUUGAUAAUAGCAGUACAUAUAGCAGAACAUAAAGAAGGCAAUGUUUUACAAAUUGUUCUGCAGAUUCAACACUAUAUAUAAUCAAAAUCCAGGCUGACUUUUUUAAUAUAAAAAUAUAAACUGAACAUACAAGUAAUGUAUAAAUACAAGAGACUGAAUGGCCAAAAUCACCUCAAAGGAAAAGAAAAUAGAACAUUACAACACUGAGAACUCAUACUUCCUAAUUUCAAAGCUUACUACACAGCUCAAGUGAUAAAGACAUGUGGUAUUAUUAUAGACAUGAACACAAAUAAAUGAAGUAAAACUAAAAUUCCAGUCUGAUGCUUCUGGUUGUUGAUUUUCAUUCAGGAUGCCAAGAGACUACUGAGAAACGGCUAUGCACUAUGUAUGACACUGGGGACUUUCUCACAUGUUAACUCAUGUUCACAGCAUUUUUAUAAGGUAAACUCACUGAUAUCAUUGCAUUUAGGAAUCCACUAUUUUUAAAAUGUUUGAAGAACUUUUUAGUAGAUGCUACUAAGAACUCAGGAUUGUAGCUCAGUAGAAUGCUUGACUAGCACCCUCAAGGUCCUCAGUUCUUUUCCUGACAAUACAAGAGAGGGGAAGGGGAAGAGGGAGGGAGAGGGAGAGGUAGAGGAGAGGAGAGAGAGAGAGAGAGAGGCUACUGAGACAACUGGAUAUUGACAUAUAAAAUAAUAUUGUCCUCUUUGUUAUACCACAUCUCAGAAUUACAAAUAGAUCAAAAAGAAGUAUGAAAUGCGGGCUGGAGAGAUGGCUCAGCGGUUAAGAGCACCCGACUGCUCUUCCAGAGGUCCUGAGUUCAAUUCCCAGCAACCACAUGGUGGCUCACAACCAUCUGUAAAGAGAUCCAAUGCCCUCUUCUGGUGUAUCUGAAGACAGCUACAGUGUACUUAUAUAUAAUAAAUGAAUUAAUCUUUUAAAAAAAGAAUUAUGAAGUGCUUUAAAGAAAAUAUAUACCCACAUGAUCUUAAGUUAAGGAAAGACUCCCAAAAUAAGACACAAAAAAUCAUGUGCAUUUCGGGCAUAGGAAAAAAUACCAUAUAUUGGUCACUGGCUCAGAAAUCAAACCAUAUCUUAUGUGACAGCCCUCUAAUUCCAAAACAAUGUUUAUAUCCAACAAGUGCCACAUUGGAGUUUGUAAUGUGCCAUCACAUCAUUAACUCAGUCUGGCUGUGUGGUGGUAUGAUUUUGGAGAGAUCAAUAAUUUCUAUGGACAUAAGCUCCUUAAGAUGGCUUUUGUUUUAUAUAGGAAAAUGAGUUAUUUGACCUGGCGUAGUACUGUCUAUAAUAACAUAAUAAAUAAAGCACCUAACAAACUCAUUAAUGAUGACAGUGAAGGCAACUCUGUAUCUGAGAAAAGAAUGCUUUGUCAGCCUGGUGCAGUAGUACACGACUUUAAUCCCAGCACUUUGGAGGCAGAACCAGCCCAGUCAAUAGAGAGUUCCAAGACUGACAGGGCUACAAAGAAACCCUGUCUCAAACACAAACAAAAAACUAAUCAAACAAACAAACAACAAAAGAAUGCUUUAUCUUCCACAAAGAAAGAACCCACUUUAAUAAACCUACCACUAGACAUGGCUGGAUCCCCCAGGGAAUGGUGUCAAAUUGAGGGCUUAUCUUUGGUCUCUGUUAUUAGCAUGGUGAGUAUUCAGCAGAGAACUGAGCCAAGCCAACGUCAAUAAGAAAAAGCCCAGGACAUUGAGGCUGUACACAUACAUGCUUUACUCUUACUAUAUCUGCUACUAUAUUUAUAAGCCUACUGAAUGAGAACUGGAGCACAAAAGGGGAGGGAUUGAUAAUUAACAUGGGAAGACAUUACUUUGUCCAGCUGAUUACUGAAAACCUCCACAGCAAAUAAUGUUAGGUAAUUUUGUCAAUUUUCUCAUGGAGAAGAGACAGUUUGCUACCUGCUCACAUAGAAAGUCAAUAUCCCCCAUUCAAUACCUCCCCUACAACUCCUUGCUAAUUUCUAAUCUUCUCUAUCUAACAAUGACUUCAGAUCCUUUCUCUAAACUUUUCUUUUUAUUGACCAAAUGAACAAGAGUCUCUUCUUAAUGCUGUAUUCACUGGUAAUUUUAUUGUUCCCUACUAUCCAAUCAACGGACUCCCUUGUCUGAGCCUAUAAAGUUAUACAUAUCUAUUUUGAGAAAGCAGACAAAGAUCCAUCUGUAAGCCUAGCCUUUUGGCCCCCUUCAGUUUGCUGGAACCAGCUUUCCUAUGAGGCUAUAAAAAGGUAUAAAGAAUGAAAGGACCAGAGAGUCCUAAGUAAUUAUCAGCACAUCAUUUAGUAACCUAGUUUCUAUGGCCAUUUUUCAAAAUGCACCAGAAUACAGUAAUACUCUAUGAACAAAAAGAGAAGAGCUAUCUGAGGAAGACAGCUUGAUUUUAUCUAAAAAGUUAUAGAUUUAUAUAUUAUAAUUCCCAUUCAGUGCUCUACAGAGGCUCCAUAAAAGAAACCUAUCUGCAAAAGAUGCUAUGAGCACAGGUAGAUUGGCCAGUCAUCUUGAACUGCAACUUACACAAGUGGAAACUAUUUCACGUAAGUCCUCAUACUCUGGGUAUCACAUAAAAUCCAUCUCCUUAAGUGUUAAAGGACUGUGGUAUUGGGAUGGAAUUAAUAUUCAGAUGUGGUAAAUUUGCCAUCAGAACUCAAAGAUCCUUCUAGGUACUGAUUUUCAAAUUCAUCAGCUGUCCACCAUUUUGCAGGCAAAAUCUCAACUGAGUUUAGAGCCCUCUCUAGAAAACUCUGCUGAGUAGAGAGACAAUUUCUCUCUUUCUCACCUCUGUCUCUCUCUCUCUUAUCCUCUCUUGGUCAAUCUGUCUUUCUAGCAUCCGAACUAACCCUUAUUGAGCAUCUAAGAUAUUCAUUGCUUUAUUUGACAGACAGAGAGAGAGAGAGAAAGAGAGAGAGAGAGAGAGAGAGAGAGAGAGAGAGAGAGAGAGAGAGUGUGUGUGUGUGUGUGUAUGUAUGUAUGUAUGUAUGAAUGUACUCACAAGUUCUGGCAAGGCCAAAAAAACUCAAAAGGUGCCUUGGAGCUGGAUUGUGAGCCCCCCAACAAGAGUGCUAAAAAUGAACCUGAAGAACAGCAGGCGCUCUUAACUGUGAGUUCUCCAGCACACAUGCAUGACUUCUUAGUCAGCAGGAGCUACUAAACAUUAUGUCCCCAGUGUUACAAGUAAGAAUGUGCAACUCUGUAUUCCACACGAAAUCUACUCUGGUGUAUCUAUUUUACUAGAAUAUUUCAUGACCAUAAGUUCAAGUAAGAGACACAGGAACUUUAUAAUACAUGAAGCUAAUUUAAACAGUGGUAUUUAUGAUGGAUAGUAUUAACUUGUUGAAACACAAUUUACAAUGUUUGUAAAUAUUACAUAAAUACCCCUAUGAAAAUAUUAACUGUAUCCCUUUUGUUUGGUAUUAUUGUAUAUUUUAAAUACACAUAAUAGACCUGAAACAAAAAGUAUCAAAAUAUCCAAGAUAAUAUCUAUCUCAGUACACUGAGAAGAGAGGUAACAUGCUACAUACUGGAUCAUGAUCUAGAUCUUAAGAUGCUAACAAGUUUAAAAUUUUAUGUCAUGUUAAGCAUUGUAACUUACACAAUCCUUUAUGUGUACCAAACCUUAAUUAAAGAAAUUUUUAGAGAUUAGAUGUACUUAUAUAAGACAACUUAAUUUAUUAUUUCUAGUUACAUAACUAAAAUAAAUAUUUGUAGGAGGAAGUACCUGCUUUGGUUUCUGUUUCAUGGUUAUUAUGGAGCUGCUGUAAGCCAGGAAUUGGUCGUGUUGUCAAAUACCAAACAGCAUGUAGGACAUCUGUGGCAUGCACACGAUUGUGAUCUGAAGUUAACAAAAUACUUGAUUAUAGCAUCAUUCUGUUUAGGUUUGGCAUAAGACAUUUGAAAGUGAAGAAAAAUUUCUAGUUAUACUAUAUCCCAACAAGUAAGGUAUUUCACACAAUUUUAUUUUAAGAUAUUCUGAUAUAUUAAAAGUACUCUUUUAAUAUAAAAAAGGUACUCUUUUCAAAUAAAGUACAAAAACAUAGUAAAGGCCUAAAGAAUAUACAGGAAGACAAAGAUAACUGAAAGGUAUUGAAAAAUUAUUGAGAUCUCUAUUGUGAUUAUUUUAUAAUGUGGUAUCUGGAUUAUAGAGACACAAUAUAGAAUAGUUUGGGUAACAGAAAAGAUGACCCAAUGGGUAAAAAUGAAGAUCUGAAUUCAGAUUCUGUACCCAAAUGGAAAGCAGGGCAUAAUCAUAUAUACACUGCAAUCCCAGUGCUGGGAGGGGCUGCUGCAGGGGGACCUGAAACAAGAAGAUAAUUGGAGCUUCCCUGUCUGCAGCAUAGAUACAGGUUCAGUAAGAGACCCUGUUUCCAGGAGCGUGAUACAGAGGGCACCCAAAGUCAUCCUCAGUCUCUCUUUGAGUACAACGGUGGUGCACUUGUACACACAUGCGCGCACGCGCGCACACACACAUACACACACACACAAAUAUUUUGCUCACUGAAGAGUUAUAUAGUCUAUAUACCUAUGUUUUGGGCCAAAAAGUGAGAAAUACUAAUUUCUUCGGUUUCCUAUGAAGACAAAUGGAAAUGAAAGCUUGACACACUUUAAACUAUAAAGUAGUAUUAUUAUGCUAAUUUAGGAAUAAUUUACAUUUUAUGUGUUCACAAGGAGGGAAACUACAUAAAAAAUCAUAUAUUUCAUAUUAGAAAUUCAAAUUACAUUAGUAUAAAAAUUAAAAAUCAUUAAAAAAGUCAUUAUGAAAUUUAAAAUAGAAAAUUGUGUGUAAGUGAACAAUUUUCUGAAAUUGUUGAUUUAACAUUCAUAAAUACAAGGCAUACAAGUAAGUGAUAUACUGUACACACACACACACACACACACACACACACACACACACACACACACACAUACACAUACAUACAUACACCGGGCUUGUUCAGUCAGCGAAGUAUUUAUUUUGCAACCACAAAGACUUUUAAUUUGAGCCCUAGAAUUCAGAUUAAAGAGAAGAAAAAAAGCCAGGCCCAGUGGUGUAUACUUGCAAAUCCAAUACUGGGACAGACAGGGACAGAAAAAUCCUUGGGACUCACUGGCUAGCUAGACUGGCCUAUUUGCUGAGCUCCAGGAAAAAGUAAACCUCAGUUAAUUUGUCCUACAUAUGCAUGUACACACCUAUAACACAAGUGCACGUACAUACAUACACACAAAAUGAUAGGUACUACACUACAUUUAAGUGAAGAAAACUGAUAGAUAUAUAUCGAAUUAUGAUCCAUUUUAUAAAAAGAUUAAUAAGGAAGGCUUGGAGGGCAUAUAUCAAAAUUAACAAGUCAGUUAACACCAACUAAUAGGAAAUAAAUAUUCUUUUAAAAUAUCUAUUUGAAAAUUUCUCAAAUGUGUAUUUCUAAAAUUAUUUCAGGACUUAUCUAAAAAAAGAGACAUACCUGUUUAGAACUUAAACAGGUAUGCAAAUACUCACAUGGAAUAUCUCGGUAGCCAUUUUCUAGUGCACGAAAAUAAUUCAUAAAUUCUUGAGUGGGAAUUUUAAAUGUUUCCAAUAAACCAGUAUCUUGAAAUAAAGUAUACAUAACCUAAGUGUAAAAUAAAAUGAAGUUCACUGUAAAAAUCAGAAUGUCUCUCUGUAGCUCAGUUUAUGGUAAUUUAGAAAUAUGACCAUGCAUGUAUUUUAUUUUUCUCAUGGUAUUGGGAUUGAAUUCCAGGCCUCCCAAUGUUAGAUAAAAAGUCUAUUUACUGAGUCAUGAGACCUUCUUGGUUUUUAGGGCAGAGUCUCUUUUAGUUGUCUAAGCUGGCCUUGAACUUGACAUCCUCCUGCUUCAGCUUCUCAAAUAACUGGGAUUACAGACUAUGGCACCAAGCCCACCAUACUGAUUUAAUUUUACCUGUGUUUGGGAUGAGGGUAUAUGUCCAGGUUCCUGAGGAGUUCAGAAAAGGUUGUGGGAUUCCCUCGAGCUGAUGUUACAGCAACUUCUGAGUCACCUGACAUGGGCACUGGGAUCUAAACUCAGGUCCUCUGGAAAAGCAGCAAGUGCUCAUAAUUCCUGAACCAUCUCUCCAAAUCUCUCAGUGUAUUUCUUUAAGUUUGUUCAUUAUUAACUUCUCAAAAAAUAUUUUCCCAAAAAGUAACAUUAAGUAUCCCUUUAUGUUUUGUAUCUCAUAGAAAAGACAUUAAAAGAAUUAAUGAGAUUCAUAUUUUAACUUUUAUUUGCCUGAUGUAACUGUUAUCUUGGAGGUUUACCACUGAAUGAAGUUUCUAUCUAGUUCUGAACUCUGGCUGGCUGGUUCAAACUCUUCUCCAAGCUGACUGAUUCACUCUGGCUUCUCUCAACUUCUCAUUAAAUUGCUCUGCUUGGCCUCAAACUAACUCUGGCAAUUUGUUUUAGUCUUAUGGCUCCCUCUUAUUCUCUGGCCUCAGCUGCCUCACUGACCUGUACUGAACUGCAUGAACUCACUAGCUGCAUGAACUACACUCACCACACUCCACUCACUGCACUGCACAAACUGCACCCACCACAGUGCACUCAUCUCACUCCACUCGGUGCACAGCACUCAGCGUACUGCACUCAGUGCACUCCACUGCACUUGCUACACUGCCCUCACUGCACCACACUCACUGUUCCACCCUCACUGCAUUGCACUCAAUGCACUGUACUCACUACACUACACUCACUGUACUGCAUUAACUGACUGCACUGUGCUCACUACACUCACUCACAACUCACUGACAAAGUGACUGACCUGCACCAAACACAAUUCCACUCAACUGAACUGAACUGACUCCCAACAGACUCAACUUCCAACUCACUGAUGAACUCACUGAAUGACCUUCACUGUCCCAGCACUGCUCUUAAAUAGCUUUUCUCUUGAAAGUUGGGCAUCAUCUAUCUCUGACUCAUUCGUCACUUUGUCUGCCCUUCAAUUAGACUGAAGGUGUAUACUAAAGACAUGUCUGCAUUUCAGCCAGCUUGUACAGACCAAGAAGUUCUUUGGAUGUGAUCAGAGCAGCCAUGUUGGAGAAUUAAAAUUGUUCUAUAUAGGAAGGUCAAUUGUUAUACAGAAUGAUUAGGUAGAACUCUGACUCUUGGUCUAUUUAUGAAAUGAACUAGUCACCCAAGCUCUAGGUAAGAAAGGUAAAAAAAAAUACUAUUCACAUUUUAGUAGUUAGAACUAAAUCAUCUUUCAGGUCCUUUUAAAUCUCAAGAAUCAAGAAAAAGUAAAUCUUUAUUAUUAUGUUAGCUGAGCUUAAAUCUCAUUAAUAUACUCGAAUUAAUGAUUUUCAUAUGUGUUUUAUAUUCUAUGCUAUUAUUGAUAUACAAAGUACAUUUGAUAUAUAUAUAAACAUAUAUGAAAAUAAUAGCAUAGAAUAUAAAACACAUGUUUAUCAUGUACAUUUAACUGUAUGUUUUGAAGGCUACUUGAAAGAUAAAUUUAUUGACAAUGCCAUUUCUGAACUUGUACUUAAACCGAUAAAAUUAUUUAGAUUUUACUUUUAUCAAUAGCUGAAAAAAUAUAGUACUAAAGUAGAGAUAUGAAGACAAACCUGGCUGAGAAUCCUUCCUGAUUUUUCUCCCAUUUUUUCUACAAGCUCAAAAAUCUGAAAGUUCCAGUUGCUCAUCUUUUCUAUUAAUGAAUCAUAAUCUUCCACUAACAUCGGGUCCAAUAACACUUCCUGGUCAAUCUGAACAAAGGAGAAAAAACAACUUUACUUUUUACAAAUAUUUCUUCUUCAGUGAACUUAAGCCAUAUAUUGUCUUCAAACCAAUACAUCUAAAAUAUUAUCAUUUUAAUAUAUAGUCAGUAUAAAAGUAUUUUUAAAAAAUUAGUAUUAUGUGUGAGAGCAUACAUGUUUUUAAAUCCAUAUCUAAAUGAAAAUGCUUAAGGCACUAACAGUAGUUAGCAAUCAUUUCUGUAGUGGUUUUCCCAAAUAUUCUUUUAUCUUGUCUUCUAUUUAUUCUCUUUGUUAAAUGCCAUAUAAAUAUUUUAAACACAUCUUACCAUCAGGAGGUUGAUGAUAUAAUCAUUAUCAUAUAUAUUAUUAAUAUAUAAUUAAGCUUAGCUUCAAAUGACUACAUAAAUCUAAAAUCCAUUAUUUUCAUCUUAAACAUUAUAUAUACCAAAGCAAAAGGAAAAAAACCUUUAUCUCAGAACAGUGGUACUUCUUACUAGAGUAGUAGCCCCAAAUAAAGAAUAGGAUUUUUUUCCUACAAAUUUCAAUACUGAACUAGAGAAAAAUGGUAAUCAUUCUGUUUUUAAUAUUUUGUGUGUGUGCAUUCACACAUGUGACAGUGUGUCUGUGAACGUCAAAGGAUAAUUUUUUGGUGUUAUAGUUCUCUCCUUCCACCAUGUGGAUUCAGGGAUCAAACUCAGAUCACCAGGCUUGUCAGCAAGCACCUUUACCAACUCAACUUGCUAGUCUGUUAAAUAAUUAUUCUCUUCAUUUUUAAUAACUAUGUACAUGUCUCUGCAUUUUAAAAAUAUAAUAACAGAAUAAAAUAUAUCUACUAUAAAAUUAUAUAAAAUUUUCAUAAAAACAUAAAUCUUUCUGUUCACUGGUAAUUGACUUAGAUCUGUUAUUAAUAACCCAAGCACUAUUCCAUAAAUUGUGAUUUCUCAGUAAAAAAAAUUAGAAUUUCAUUAAACUGGUAAUUAUGCUGUUUAACAAUAAUGAAGCAGUGCUAACGUGUCAUACUUCACUCUAACAUAAUGAUAUUCAAAGUGUCUUUUACAUUCGGUUGCUGGGCCUCUUCCAUUAGGUGAUCAUCACCUUCCAAAAAUAAUUCCCUGCAGUCUUCCUUCACUGUCUCUUCUUCUUGAGUUUCCACAAUGUUCAAUCGUUCUUUUGAGAAAACAGUGCUGUCUUCUUCACCUUUCAAAAAUAUAUAUAGUAAUAAAUAGAAAUAAGAUGUGCCUUAAACAUGUAGCUUAUUACAAAACCUGGUCGCUGAUGUAAAGCUGUUUUGAUAGAGUGAACCAUACUCCAGCUCAGGUUAAAGCAUUUAUUCACACCAGACUCUAUCUUGCUGACUCUGUGUACUGGGGUCUUAAGCUCAGACAACACAAACAUUUCACAUUUAUGCAUCGAUGACAGGAAGGGGUAGAUAUCUCUAUAAAAGUGAGAAACAAAAGGAUAGUCCCUGUCAACACACUUCUUGCCAAUUUGGUAUAAAUAAUCCUCACAUGAGAUUAUGAAACAAAACCUCUCAAUUCAUAAUUAUAUGUGCACACAAUUAAGAAAUAUGUAAAAUUUCAACCACAAAAUGACAAAUUCUGAGUUAUUUCUCUGUUUAUUUGUUUAAUAAUAUUCUUUUUUCAAGUUACAUGGAAAAGCAGAGUAACACCAGUAGCCAAAUAGUAUUUAUUCAUAUGUUUAAAACAUUUUUUGUUUUAUUUAUAAUACUCUAAACAGGAAAUUUUCCUGUGAGAGAUUCAUACGCUAGUAAGCAACAAGAAUAAAUGUAAUUACAAUGUGAGUGAGUUUGUAAACACAAAAAUGAUCAAUGAAGAAAGGCAGGGAGAAAGUCCACAUCCUGCUGUUCUCCUUAUGAAAUGUUCUUUUAAAAAGUCUCAAACCUGUUACUUCACCCAGUGAGCUGGCCACGCCUGUCACACAGCCUGGCCAUCCGAGUUCAAUCAGGCAUACAAACCCAUAUACAGAUGGAAAGAGAAAACCGACUCAGCGUUGUCUGAUCCCCACAUGCACACCAUGGUAUGAAGGGCCCCCCACCCUCAACCUGCCAUCAUUCACAAACACAAUCCAUUUUAAAAGUUUUAUGAUAUGCAUGAGUGGUAUACACAAGCACUGAAAGACAGGGAAAUCAUUUACCUUAGGGGCACAGCUGCAAGGGUGCAUAAAGGGAAAUUUUAAGAUAACAUUUAGUUUCUAGAUCUGGGUACAGACUGUACAAUGUAUAUAAUAUUCAUCAAGCUUUAAACUUAGGUUCUGUAUGUUCUUCAACAAACAGGAUUUUAAAACCUUUGUUCUGUUUAUUUACUGAGAUGGCAUCUCACUAAAUUGCCCAGUCCCCUCGACAACCAAUCCCCUCACCUCAACCACACAAUAGGCCUGGCAAGUUUUUUAAAAAUAAACCUAGGCUUUUUGUUUGUUUUUUUGUGUGUAUUGGAGGAAAUGUCCUGUGUGUCUGUGUGUGUGUGUGUGUGUGUGUGUGUGUGUGUGUGUGCACAUGCACAUGUGUGCACAGGUACACACAUGGCCUAGCCUAGAACUCUAAAUUUGUGGCUCAACCUGGGCCUUGAACUCACAGCAAGCCUCAUGUUUCACUCUUCCAAGUGCUGCAGUUACAGACAUGAGAUAGUAUGCUGCCUCUUUUGAGUUCUUGAGUGUCCUCACUAAGCAGGGCAGUGUCCCAUGCCUAUAAUCCUAGCAACCAAGGAAUCUGAUCACUAAGUAGAAGCCAUCAUGGACAACUUAAAGAGCUACUACUCAUAAAGGUUAAAAAAAAGAUAAUAAAUGUAAUUACUGACAUUAAACUUCAGAAGUAGGUUCAAAACCUGAGGUUUGUACUUAAACUCAGUGGCAAGAGUUCUCUUCACUAGAAAAUGUUGACAGUAACUAAACCAACUUACUAGACCUUAAACAUAAAAUGUGAUUUAAAGAUUUAAUCAAUUCUUUGCCUAACAUACAGGAAUUACAGCAAACAUUAAGGUUAGAAAGUACUAUUGUUUAUAAAAUAUUAUUUUCCAAAUAAAAUACUCAUUUUAUAAAAUAAAACUUUGAAUGAAGUGGUGCUUCUUUAUCUGAAGCCCCACUUUCCAGUGAAAAUAGGAGCCGGUGGACCUGAGCCAGCCAGAGAAGGUUGUUAACAGACACCAGGAGAUGAACUGGGAUGGCAGAGUGAGAAGACAAGACAGCUGGCGAGAGCUGAGCAAAGAGGCUAGCACCACUGUUUACAGUGUGGGGCCACUAGUACUGGGAAAACUGGGAAAAGGGACUGUUUAAGCAGACUGUUGGAGAACUGAGGGAGGAAUGGUGGGCAGAAGGCUUUGAAGGGGCUGGGCUGGAAAAUGGGAGAAGGGCUGACCUGGAAUUAAGAGAACUGGUUACUGUUUAUAAGAAAAGGAGACAUUAAAAGAAACAUUCAAGAAAACAACACAUAUUUUACAUCUCUCUGUUAACCUGUUGCCUCUAAAAGACAAAGGGUACAAGGGGCUAUCUUCAGAUGUCUACCUACUAGGUAGUCCACUAAGCUCCCAACUCAUGGUUAAACACAUACACCUGCUUAGACUCAGUGGGUCACAAAACACAGACAUAACAACUGGGAAAGGGAUCUAUGUGGAGGAACAAGACGGAUGAGAGGAGGUAAAUGGGUGUAGGGUUAGUGUAAUCUAUUAUGUGUGUGUAUGAAACUGACAAAGGAUAAAUCUAAUUUAAAAAUCACUGAUAUUUCAUGUGUAUUACUGAUUUUUUUAAUGAUUUAAACAAAUGAAAAUUCUGGGUCCUUUCUUGGCAAGAGUGCCUAACUUGGAUUUUAUGAUGGAUGCCUGUUGGCCUUCCCAUAGACCAAAUUUGUUGGUUAAAAUCUGAAAAAGGAGGAAAUGGAAACUUGCAGUCUGCAAUGUCACUCCAUAUUCUCUUUGAGCAAUCAUGAGACUUCUUGAGAGUCAAUGGUAUUAAUAAAUAAGCUAUUGUAAUGCAUUUUAGAAAUCUGUGGGAUAGAAGUGUUGUAAUCCUCUUUAGAGAAGAAAUUGCUUCAUCUGUAAUUGAACCGGUAAUAGCCAAAAAUUGGAAACAACUUACUAGAUAUCCCCAAAAUAGAAGAAUGGAUAAAGAAAGUUUGGUACAUUUACACAAUAUAGUAUUACUCAGCCACUUUAAAAAAAGGAAAUCAUGAAAUUUGGAGGUAAAUAGAUGUAACUAGAAAACAAAUCAUCCUGAGUGAGAAAUCCUAGACCCAGAAAGACAAAAAUUUGCUGAUCUGUGGAUAUCAGCUGUUUUGACAUGAUAACCAAGCUAUAAUCCACAGAACCACAAAGGUUCUAUGUAAAGGACUAAGGGUUACAGAGAGAUCUCAAUAGAGAAGGAAAAUAGAAUAGAUAGUAAUGAGUGGAUGGGAGUUAAAACAGAAGGAACCAGUGGGGAGCUGGAUGGGAGAGGUGGUGUGGAGAGAUAGGAGGAGGGAGGGAAUAUGAGGAGAGACAGCUAAGAUUAAGGACCAUUUAUGGAAACCAAAUACAGUAGAAGCUUGCUUAGAACAUAUACAUAUAUACGUAAGUGAAAUUGCCAAAUAAUGGGGAAGACAAAGUCCCAAUCAGCCAUUUCUUGUCACCAAGUGAAGUUUCCACUGCUGAGAUUGCAUUACAUAUAAUUGCUGUUGGCCACAGGGGUCUCAUGAGAAUCCCCAAACAUCCCAGGCCAAGACUAUAUAUUUGCUCUUCACAUAUUAACAUAAGGCCCUAUUGUUGUAGACAACACCUACACAAUUCAUUGAAUAUGGAGAAGUCAAGCCAGUGCCUUCAUAGAGCCUUCAACCCCUAUGAGUUAGCGUCUUUGUACAGGAGAGAUUUUUGUGUGCUACCAAAGAACUAUAGAGAACUUUAAGAGCUACAGAAAACUAUAAAAACCAAUCCUGCCACAAACCUUUGGAUGGGCAAUGGUGUUCUGCCUGCAAGGCAUGCUACAGUGAUCAUGUCACAAGCUGUGGGAGUAACCAAACAGUAACUGAUUUGACUUAAAGCCCACUCCACUAGAUGGAACCUAUCCUCAAACUGCUUGGGGAACCAAGAACCAAGAACUAGAUAGCCCAGGGAAUUAGAAGAAAAUCAUGAAGUACUCUUCUUUUUAAAAAACUGUAGCAAUAAGAUGACUCCUAAUUGCAUUCUGUAUAUACAGAUUAAUGCCUUACUCAACUCAAUCAUCAGAGAAGCUUCUUCUUGUAACAGAAGGGACAAAUACAGAGACCCACAGUCAGACAUUAUGCAAAAGGGGAGAGGUCUUGGAACACUCAGCCCUAAAUGGAUGUCUCCAUCAAAUCCCUUUCCUCAAGGAACCCCAUAGAAGAGAAGGCAGAAGGAGUUUAAGAGCCAGAGGGACUGAACAAAACAAGACCAUUUAAAUAACAUCAUCAGAGCUCUUAUGAACUCACAGCAAUUGAGGUGCCAUGCAUAGGACCUGCAUGGAUGUGCACCAGGCACUCUGCGGCCUCUGUGUAUUUAUUAUGGAUACCAGUUUAAUGAUUUUGUCAGAUUCCUGGGUCAGCUAAGAAGUGGGUCUCUGAUUCUUGUGUCUUGUCCAACUCUGAUGUGCUAGUUUUUGUUUUACCAUAUCAUUAUCAUAUCAUAUUAUGAUCUCUUAGACUUUUUUUAAAUAAUGAGAGACAGAAAAGGACUGAAUCCAGAUGGGAAGAAGGUGGGCAGCAACUGGGAGUAGUAGAGAAAGGGGAACCAUAAUCAGGAUAUAUAUUAUUUGAGAUUUUAAAAAUCUUUUUAAUAAAAGAAUAAAUAAUUUUUAAGAAUUUCAACUUACUCAGAUAAAAUUAAAAGUCCUCUAAUCUCACAAAACAUGAAAAUUUACAGCAUAAAAUAUUUAGCCAUUUGAAGUUCAAGAUAAAAGAAAUAUAUUUUUUUAAGAUUUAUUUAUUAUAUAUAAGUACACUGUAGCUGUCUUCAGACACACCAGGAGAGGGCAACAGAUCUCAUUACAGAUGAUUGUGAGCCACCAUGUGGUUGCUGGGAUUUGAACUCAGGACCUCUGGAAGGGCAGUCAGUGCUCUUAACCACUGAGCCAUCUCUCUAGUGACUGGGUUUUUGACUGAGUUUCUAGAACAUAAACCACCCUGUACUCUGGUGGGAAACAGAAAUUACUCUAUAUGUUGAAUAUAAAAUUCAUGAACAUCUGAAGCCUGCUAACUACAGAUAUAAUGCCAUAAUAAGCAAGAAUUUCAAAAAAGUCAGCCUGGUAACACUUCACAUGAUUGCUGCCUACCCCGGUCACAUGUACUCAAGUAGGAAUCUCUCCUCUAAGACCAAUCAUUCCACAGAACUACGAAAAAUAGUAAAACAAUUAUUUCCUAAAAGCUGUAUUAAGUGUAAUUGCAUGCAUUUAAAACCCACCACAUCAGAUGAGGACACUAUAGCAGAAUAUCUCAUAUUGGUGGCUUAUGAACAACAGUUUUAUUUCUCACAGUGUAGAGGUAAGAGUAUCAGUGCAGUGGUAUUCUGGUAAGGUUCUCAAGUUUCAGAAGGCCAGUUGCACACAUAGUAGAAAAGAAAGCUACAAAGUUCUAGUGAGCCCCCUCUAAAGGAAAUAAUCUCACAUUCACCGUCUUAUUACCUCCCAAGGGCCCCAACACAUUCAGGUGUUAACACCUGAAUUUGGGUGAAUAAAAGAAAAUUCAGCUUGUAUACUCAAGUAUACAAAUAAACGUGUAUAGUAAAUGUAAGGUUACACAACGAUCAUGUUAAUCUACUUUUAGAACAUUCUCACCAUCUACAAAACAUCCCUCAUGCAUGUUUGUUGUUAAUCUCCACCAUGCUUUUAGAUCCCAACUGUUCUGAGAUUGCAUUUAUUGCCCUUUGAGAAUUUCUUGUAGAUGUAAUAAUAUAAUAUUUUAUUAUAUGUGAAUAUUAUGAAUGUAUAAAAUGUAAAUAUUUUGAGCCUGGCUUCUUUCACUUAAUAUAUUAUUUAUGUUGUUGAACCAUAUAUCAAAAGUCCAUUACUGUAACUGCUAUACACAAUUUACAGAAGUCAUAUACCUCUAGCGUUUAUUGACUCAGAAGCUGGAGUUUGUAUUGCUCCCCCGCCAGCACUAUGACUAAGGAUGCAUUAAGUGUGUUUUCCUGGUAUUCACUGGACUGCAGUAUUGCUGAGUCAGGUAAAUCUACAUGUAACAAUGGGUACUGAACUAGGACCUUACUGGUGGUGGUAGGUAAGAGCUCUCCCACUGAGCUAUAUCCUCAGCCCCCUUUUUAAAUUUUAAGGCAGAGGGCUAGAGAGAUGGUUCAGCAGUUAACAGUACUGACUAUUCUUCCAGAGGAACUGGGUUCAAUUUCUAGCACCCAUACGGUGGCUCAUGGUGGUUAUCUGUAACAAAACUUCCAAGGAAUCUAACGCCUCCUUCUGGCUUCCGUAGGCAAUGAAUGCACGCAGUGCACAGACAGACAUACAUGCAGGCAAAACAUAGACACAUACAUAAAUUUUUAAAAGUUGGAAGUUUCAAACAGGUCUCAUUAAGUUGCAGAGGAUGCCUUGAGUAUAUUGUGUAACUAGACUGGCCUUCACUCUGUUGCCCAAGUAGGCUGUGUACUUGCCUCCUGAGUAGCUAUCAAAGCCUGCCCCAACAGGUUUAACUAAUUUGCUUUUUCUUUCUAUCACAGGUGGUAAAAUUUGUACUUGAAAAUGAUUUUUUUCCAAAAUCUCCUUUUUAAAUAAAAUUUAAGAACUCUAGGAAUGUAGCUCAGUGGUAGAGUCCUUGUCAAGUAUUCACAGGGCUCUCAGUUCAAAUCACAGCAACAUCAAAAAUAAGUUAAAUAUAAUAAAAAAUUUAAAAACUAUUAACUAGCCCUUUCCCAUUAUGGAUGUUAGCUGUAAAUAUACCUUAUAUCAAGCUGAGGUACUAUCUAGCUGUUACAUGUCCUGAUUUGGCCACAAACAAAAUAGUUAUUGCUUCUUUUCUCUUAAGACUAUCAUGUGAUUUGGUGUAUAUUAUUUGUUAAACUUGUCCCAUGAUUCUUGCAUUUGGAAUACCAUGUGACCAGAGGGAACUUUUUACAUUUCUAAAUUCAGUCUGCUCAUAUUUUGUGACCACAGGGAACUUUUUACAUUUCUAAAUUCAGUCUGCUCAUAUUUUGUUAAGAAUACUUCUGUCUCUGCACAUAAACAGAUAUCAGCCUGCUGCCUGUUCUUGUGAUGACUCUAUGUGGGUGUAGCAUUGGAGUAAUGCAAGUCAAAUGGGUAAGCUGCAAGGUUGUACUGCCUUUGUUUUGGGAAACGUGUGUAUAAAGGAUUAGUCAGUCUUCUUUUAAACAACCCUAUCUGGUAUAAAUUAUAUAAACAAAUAUUUAUUUUUAAAAACCUGUUAAGCAGUAUACAUUUAAAAGUGAUUUUUAUAUUCUAGGAAGGAUUGAUAAGAGCCUAUUUCUCUGUUACCCUUUUAGAGUUUAUGCAUUACAUUUAACAAUUUUUUUUUAAAUUAUGGAAUAGCUAAAAUUUCAUCAAUAGCAUUUCUUGUCUGAGGAUAUAAAUCGCUUCAUAAUGACACUAAUCAUUUCUCUCAAUACCAUAAAACUGCACAAUCCCUUUCAAACAUAAAUCAUGUGGUACAGGUUUCAACAUUUCAGCACCUGUCACUUGUAAGUCAUUCUUAGUAAUUCCUGGAGAACAAGAGAAAACCACUGUACUAUUCAACGUGGAGAAGUGGGAGCUGUGAUGUAAUCAGUGUGGAGCAUUCACUCAGCACAUAUGACUCUCUUGAGUAUCACCCCAGCACCACAGAAAAGAAAAACCCAGAAAUGUACAACUAGGUAAAUGGAUGUUUAAAAAAGCACUGUAAAACUAACCUUGAACUCAAAAUACAUAGAACUGACGCACUCUCACCUGAUUUUUCAUUGUGGUGGUCUGUACCAUCAGGUUCACAUGUCGAAACAUACUUGAGUAUUUGGUGUCCACAGCUUAUAGAAUAAAACAGAUAUAUAUAUGAUAAAGGAAGCUUUGUUUUAUUUUACCUAAACAUAACUAGGAAAUCUGCCUGAUUUUUGAAUGAGAGCUCAACUGUAACACAUCCUAAGACACAAAUCUGUGCGUACACCUGAAUGAUACCAACUAGGAAACUUCUGUGUCCUUCAAGGAAACAACAUACUUUUGAAAGUCAGUAGUGGAGUCUAAGUUAAAAUUAGAAACCUGCAUGUCUAUCAAAAACAAAAUAAGGGGCUGGGGAUUUAGCUCAGUGGUAGAGCGCUUGACUAGGAAGCGCAAGGCCCUGGGUUCGGUCCCCAGCUCCGAAAAAAAAGAACCAAAAAAAAAAAAAAAAAAAACAAAA